GGUAGGAUGACUGACUUAGGUGUUAGAUUGUAAAUCUAUUUAUGGAAUAUAAUUUCUCCUACCA
This 64-nucleotide transfer RNA is filed under the name Physemacris variolosa. Its description in RNAcentral is "tRNA-Tyr". The record is from RNAcentral. Lineage: Eukaryota; Metazoa; Arthropoda; Insecta; Orthoptera; Pneumoridae.